RNAcentral lists this ribosomal RNA (484 nucleotides) under uncultured bacterium. RNAcentral describes it as "partial 16S ribosomal RNA". It matches the Rfam family "Bacterial small subunit ribosomal RNA", at positions 30 to 507 of the family's 1533-position model. The record is from RNAcentral.
AUUGAACGCUGGCGGCAGGCCUAACACAUGCAAGUCGAGCGGAUGAAGGGAGCUUGUUCCUGGAUUGAGCGGCGGACGGGUAAGUAAUGCCUAGGAAUCUGCCUGGUCGUGGGGGAUACGGUCCGGUACCGGCACCGAUUCCCGAUACCGCCCAACGGGGGAAGAGGGGGGCUCUUCGUCCCCAUGGCUAUUGGCUUGGCCUAGGUGGGAUUAGCAAGUGGGUGGGGUAACGGCCUACCAAGCCGACGAUCCCUAGCUGGUCUGAGAGGAUGAGCAGCCACACUGGAACUGAGACACGGUCCAGACUCCUACGGGAGGCAGCAGUGGGGAAUAUUGGACAAUGGGCGAAAGCCUGAUCCAGCCAUGCCGCGUGUGUGAAGAAGGUCUUCGGAUUGUAAAGCACUGUAAGGUGGGAGGAAGGUCAGUAAGUUAAUACCUUGCUGUUUUGACGUUACCAACAGAAGAAGCACCGGCUAACUUCGUG